This 492-nucleotide ribosomal RNA is filed under the name uncultured bacterium. RNAcentral's name for it is "partial 16S ribosomal RNA". It matches the Rfam family "Bacterial small subunit ribosomal RNA", at positions 29 to 507 of the family's 1533-position model. The record is from RNAcentral.
AGUGAACGCUGGCGGUAGGCCUAACACAUGCAAGUCGAACGGCAGCACAGUAAGAGCUUGCUCUUACGGGUGGCGAGUGGCGGACGGGUGAGGAAUACAUCGGAAUCUACUUUUUCGUGGGGGAUAACGUAGGGAAACUUACGCUAAUACCGCAUACGACCUACGGGUGAAAGCAGGGGAUCUUCGGACCUUGCGCGAUUGAAUGAGCCGAUGUCGGAUUAGCUAGUUGGCGGGGUAAAGGCCCACCAAGGCGACGAUCCGUAGCUGGUCUGAGAGGAUGAUCAGCCACACUGUCACUGAGACACGGCCCAGACUCCUACGGGAGGCAGCAGUGGGGAAUAUUGGACGAUGGGCGCAAGCCUGAUCCAGCCAUACCGCGUGGGUGAAGAACGCCUUCGGCUUGUAAAGCCAUUUUGUUGGGAAAGAAAAGCAGCAGGUUAAUACCCCGCUGUUCUGACGGUACCCAAAGAAUAAGCACCGGCUAACUUCGUG